CCUGGCUUUACAUCAGUAUUAUCUGUGGUAAUUUUUAAAACUCUUGCUUAUUGACUAUUUCUAUUAAUAGGGCAAUCUGAUUUUUUUCAUUGGAGGAAAGAUUUGUAUAAUUUUCCAAACUAUAUUGUUAAGACAACUGUGCUUCAUAGGUGUCCCCAGACUUGGGGAUGUCUGACUGUGUAAUCUCUUUUUCCCUGGAUAUUUCUUUGGUUUCUUCCCAUGCAAGCUUCAAGAUUGGGAACAUCUGAAAUUGGGAACAUUUUCAACUUCUUCCUUCUUUUUCUUCUCCACUUCCAAGAGUCCAUAUUCAAUGGCUGAUAAUCACAUUCUGCACAACAAGAUGCUCAACCCAAGAGGGACUUGAAGGAACAGAAACUGACAAAAACCCAGCAGAUUCAAGUCUACUUUCUCAGGCUCUCUCUCUAGAGCAGAAAGUUGUCUCUGGUGCAGCUGCCCGGCCAAGGACUGUAGUUCCCAGCUUCCUUUGCAUCUAGAUGGAACCACGUGACUGUUGUGACCAGUGAAAUGGGAGCAGAAGUAAUAUGGGUCACUUGGAAGCCAAGACAGUGAAGAAGCAGGUGCUGAGGAUGCCGAGCACUUCCCUGGACCAAAUGCUCCAAUGUGCAUUACUGCAUUACUUCCUCUUAAAGGAGGGUUCCAUGGGCCCACUGUCUACCAAAUGGCCUUGGGAAUGGUCUGCAGGAAUUGGCUUGGUUGAGGGACUAGAGUUCAUGGAUUGCACCAAUAAGGUCUGUGGGUUCGCUCAGCUACGCUUGCUCACCUCCAGGGGUAAACACAUUGAGAGGCAUCUGCGAGCUGCUGAGAAGGACGUUCUCUCUCAGGUUUGCCAACCAAAUAAUCACAGCCCAUGACAAUUCAGCCUUUACGUUCAAGGUUCCGUAGAUACAAACUGACUCAAUUCAUUAAGCAUUUGCUGGG
This 939-nucleotide long non-coding RNA is filed under the name Equus caballus (horse). Its description in RNAcentral is "lncRNA (ENSECAG00000060183.1)". The record is from RNAcentral. Lineage: Eukaryota; Metazoa; Chordata; Mammalia; Perissodactyla; Equidae.